Molecule: ribosomal RNA, 497 nt
Filed under: uncultured bacterium
Lineage: Bacteria
Description: partial 16S ribosomal RNA
Rfam family: Bacterial small subunit ribosomal RNA
Source: RNAcentral
GAUGAACGCUGGCGGCGUGCCUAAUACAUGCAAGUCGAGCGAACAGACGAGGAGCUUGCUCCUUCGACGUUAGCGGCGGACGGGUGAGUAACACGUAGGUAACCUACCUAUAAGACUGGGAUAACUUCGGGAAACCGGAGCUAAUACCGGAUAAUAUUUCGAACCGCAUGGUUCGAUAGUGAAAGAUGGCUUUGCUAUCACUUAUAGAUGGACCUGCGCCGUAUUAGCUAGUUGGUAAGGUAACGGCUUACCAAGGCAACGAUACGUAGCCGACCUGAGAGGGUGAUCGGCCACACUGGGACUGAGACACGGUCCAGACUCCUACGGGAGGCAGCAGUAGGGAAUCUUCCGCAAUGGGCGAAAGCCUGACGGAGCAACGCCGCGUGAGUGAUGAAGGUCUUCGGAUCGUAAAACUCUGUUAUUAGGGAAGAACAAACGUGUAAGUAACUGUGCACGUCUUGACGGUACCUAAUCAGAAAGCCACGGCUAACUACGUG